Molecule: unclassified non-coding RNA, 5021 nt
Filed under: Monomorium pharaonis (pharaoh ant)
Lineage: Eukaryota; Metazoa; Arthropoda; Insecta; Hymenoptera; Formicidae
Description: zinc finger protein 808, transcript variant X1
Source: RNAcentral
GAUGAGAGGCGCUGCUGCACGAUUGACUACGGCACUACGGCGACGCGGAGUCACACCUAGGAGUUUCUCGAGAUUUUCACGUGAAAAACCGUGUAGGAGUCUACCGCUGGUCGAGUUUCGUUUAAGCUUGACCAAUGGAGGGUUUCGAAGAGGACGACGACACGCACUUCUGCAUCAAGUGUAAUUUGACAAUCCACGGUCUCGACAAUUAUGUGCGGCAUCGUCGUUCGGGCUGCCGACCGUCCGACGUCAAAAUCGAGAUCGCCCACGAGCCACCCUCGACGCCAACGACAGUGUCCUAUCCCGAGAUUCUAAACGCGGACGCGUUCUUCAGCUCGCUGGAAUUACAGAGCAACGCUCGACGCGCGCCGACUUUAUUGGAUAACAGUCGAAAAUUCAAGAAGGAUGACAAGAGAAAGAAGGACCAGAAAGGUCAGGUGGACGGUGACGAGCCCGGCGCGAAGGAUAAACUUCACAGUAUGUUACCCGCCGUCAGCGAUCUGGACGAGCCGCCCGAUCUGUGCAUCCAGUCCCUGAAGCAGACCACUCUCGAACGGAAGAGACAUGAGAAUCAGCAGAGCUGGCUGGACGACCCCAUCCUCGCCGACCUUUCUUUAGGGAAUAGCGCGAACAAGGAGCUGGCGAGAUACGACUUUGAGUACGAUGACUCCGAGGACGACAUGCUGGAGGAGGAAUUGGGGGAGGAUUCCUAUUCGGAUUCGGAUGACGGCGAAAAUCGAGAGGGUCCGCCGCGAGAUCACACCGGUGGAAAGUGGAAGCCCGGCCUCGACGAUUUGCCGCAGGACAUGCCGCAUAUGCAUGAGGAGGACGCCGAGCCCGACGAUGAUCAUCAGCAACAUCCUCCGCCGACGUAUACCGGCGGCAAAUGGCGCCCCGCGGAGACAUCGCAAGAGAGAAAGGUCGAGGAGUACGAAAGCAAGAACACAUCCGGACAGCCGCCACCGGGACACACGCGAGGGAAAUGGGUACCGGGUGCACGAACGGAUAUCGAGUCGGGAUAUUGGUGCAAUCCUUGCGGUAGGAAGCUCGCCUCACGAUUGGUCUACAACAGGCAUCUGCUCUCUGAUUUGCACGCCAGAAGGAGCAUUAGGGAGCUCGACGGCGGCCUCCACCUACGCCGUGGAAUAAAUUCGCACGCGACGAGAGUGUCCAGAAGAGUGUCCACUCGUAGGCAAACUUCGCUCGAAACGAGGACGAAAGAAGAGCCCGAGCAGAAGAAAGUUAAGAAAGGCGUGCGUCGGAGGGAGAAGGAGAUUCUUCUCUGCGAGAUGUGCCGCACGCGCGUGAGGAGGCCUCAAAUGGGUAAACAUUUGCUCUCCCAUUACCAUUGCCGUGUGUCAGGUGUCCUCGUGAAUCCUCGCAAUCCAAGCGUACGCCGUUUCCUUCUGGAGCACAUAGCGAACGUGGUACGGCAGAGUCCCUUCCAAUGCGCCUCUUGUCGUUUUUACUGCAACACCGAGGAGACGUUCCUGCUUCAUUGGCGUUCCGAGCUUCACUCCAAGACCGUAGAACAGAUCGGUGGCAGUUGCCGAUGCACUCCGUGCAACUUCUGUUGCGCGGACAACGCGACAAUGGAGUCUCACCUCCUGAGUACGAGUCAUCGUGACGUAGUAUCGAUGAUGAAGGGCUCCGUGCCGGUGGUAAUUAGUCGUCAACGUACGUUAUCCUGCGGCAGUUGCGAUCGGCAAUUCCGAUACAACUUCCAGCUGCGAUUGCACGCCAAAGAGACCGGUCACGCCGCGAGUCAUACCGCUUCGGACGUGUAUCAGCAGCGUAUCAAGUGCGAUCGGUGCCCCCAAGUCCUCCGGUCCCUGGUCGCGCUUCAGCGUCAUCAGCUGACCAAUCACAUCGCCAAGGACAAAGAGAAGGGUGGCGAGGUCGUGACGGCCGCGCAACCGGCGCCGUACUUCUGCUCCUUCUGCUCGUUGAACUUUAUCACCGCCCAAGAAGCGGUUCUGCAUCGGAGGACUCCUAGUCACAAGGAAGCCGUGAAGGCACGCAAGAGCGAGGAAGGCCUGCUGGAGACAGUGCGGGAGUGCCCUCAUUGCGACCAGAAGCACCCGAAUCUCGCGGCGCACAAGAGCCAUCUCCUUCUUUGUCAUCCGGAAAUUUGCCACAGAUGUCCUCGAUGCGGCAUGCUUUUUGCCCUGUCACAAGACGUCACCAGACACACGCGAGAGGGUAAUUGUCUCAAAAAUAACGAUAAAUCGAGCGCGAGUGAAGCAGAAAGUCAGGACAAAAAGUGGAAAUGCAGGGAUUGCAUCUUCUCAACGGAUUCCAAAGCCGAACUGAUUUUUCACGAAGCCUUGCACGUCGGUGCCGUUCAAGAAACGGAAGCGGGAGCAAGCAAGAUGUUGCCGAAAUAUAGAUGCCCGAUUUGUGGGAAGGCUUUCCAGAAGACGUCGCUACGGAAUCACAUUAGGCAGCAUACAGGAGAGAAGCCCUUUUCUUGCGUAAAAUGUUCAGUCUCGUUCGUGAGAAGAUCGCAUCUCAUUAUUCAUCAGAAGAUGUGCAACAAUUCGUCGAAAUCUCUGGACGAAACUGGCCGUCGACGGAACUUUAUCUGUUUGCAUUGCGAUAAAGGCUUCUACACAAAGCAUGCCCUUCGACAGCACAUGCUGCGACACGCCGGUAAGAAGUACAAGUGCGGCCUUCCGGGUUGUCCAACGAUUCUUCGUACCGCAACCGAGCUGAAGACCCAUCGAAGGCUGGUACACGACAACAUCGAGAAGCAGUACUCAUGUCCCGAUUGCUCCUACGCCGCUAAAACGAAGACGCAGCUGCGCAGGCACAGGAUAAGGCACGAGGACUCCGCGAACAACGAAAGGGUCCAGAUUCACUUCUGCACUUACAAGGGCUGCAACUUUAAGACGAAACUCGGCUCGAACCUGCGGAGACACGUGCGACUGCACACCGGCGCCAAGCCGUACAAGUGUCGACACUGCCCCUACGCCAGUAACACCUUGGAGAAUCUCCGGAAGCACAUCCUAUCGACGAACUUGCACCCGGGUGAGACGAUCUACGAGUGCGAAUUCUGCGAGAAGAGUAAAGGAAAGGAGGCGGAUCCGUUCUGCACGAACUUCGCCAAGGAACUUCGUGCUCACCUGCUGGAAGCCCACGCCGAAGACUUUCCGACGCCAAAUGACGCGAACAACUACACGAAUAACAUUUUCAGACCCAAUUAAUCAGAAAGGAUCUUCAAUAAUCUACCCAUGCCACAAACGCGAUAGGAGCUGUCAGCUCGCACCCACACACCGCGAGGAUUUCGCAUGGUCUUGCAGAAAGCAUGGCGGAUAAGCGCAGGUGUGUCGCACAAAAUUGUCUGAUCGACAUGCCGAGUGAAGUGAUCUCGGUGACCUUCGUUGAAAAUUUUUUCUCAUCUAUUCGGCGAUGAUCAUGGCGACGUCUUGCUGCUGCAAGAGGCGCAAGAUCUACAAAUGGUACCCGAAAGAAUGUAUCCGGUACGAUCCAAGGAAGAUGCCGUACUUCCUGUGAUUGCGGAUAAUGGACCAUAAUACACACUCCAAUACUUAGCACAGAUACAACCGGUCUGAUUGUCAUCGAGGCGGGAACACGAUCGCUGCCGUAAUCAUUCGCGUUUAAUUGGCCGCACGGCGAUCUCUGUGCUCUGAUCGCAACUGCGCGGUGCGCCGGCUACUUCAAUCUGAUUCCGAGAUUUAAAUCCGAAUUCAAUCAGAUCUUAUUUGUUGUUGGGAUGUGCAUUACGAAAUUUUCAUGAGUUAUCCAGCUCAAUAUCAGCGCAGACAUAAAAUGUAUCAUCACCGCUCGAAACGGAAGGAACGCUACCGCCAUCACGCAUCCGAAAAUUAAUCGGCGUGGGCGCAGCCGAUAACGAAUGGUGUUCCCGCCAAACGGCCAGUAUAUUUUACUUUGCACUCCAGUGUCUGUUAUUUUGUGCGCAUUCUGGCUGUCCGAUCUGGCACGAUUUACUCGCCGGUCUCGAUCAGGAAUUUUCGAGUCGCGCGCGCGCGCGAUUCCGGACAAAUACCCACGGAACCAUUAAAAAAUUGCUGCCGAACUGCGCGCACGUUUCGAUCUCGGUUUCCCUCCCGAUCGAAGGUCUCGCGUUAUUAUCUAUUAUCGAUCUAUCUGCUAAUGUAAUUAAUGUUUAAAUAAUAAUUAAAUUUUUAUUAGAUAAAGUUGAAAAACGACGAAUUUUGUACAGUUUAUAUGCACAAUCACAAAAACGUAUUUUCCUUUUAGCGUUAAAGUCACUUAAUCUGCUUCAUUAUAAAAAUAAUUUGUAAGUUUGAAUUUGAUUAAACGGACAAUAAUUAUUUUAAAUAAUUUUAAAUUAUUUUAAAUAUAAAAUAUUAUAACGUGCGUAUAUAUUAUUUUACUCUAAUACGCAUAUAUAAAAUUAAUAUAUUUGUAUAGUUUUAUACAUGUAUUAUAUGUGUACAGUGUAAAAAAAUGAUAGAUUGAAAUAAAGAAGGUUCAAAUACCUAACGAUACUAAACAUAUAAUAAAUUGGUAAAUAAUUUUAUUUUUAAUUACUCCUGUACUGUUUAAAUUUUCAAAUUGAGACAUUUUAAUCCAUGUUUUGUUUUGACAAAUUACAAUAUAAAACUUGACGAUAAAUGUAGGUUAGUAAUAAAUUUGUAUAAAUUAAAACUGUUUUCUCAUUUUUCGUCUACGUUUGCUUACAGUACUUUUUAAGCAUUAUUUCAUCUUUGACGUUUAUCGAAUCUUAAACAAAGACAAAUAAUACACAACGUGGAUUAUAACAGUUAUUAUAUUUUGUUAUAAAAAGCGUUUAAAAUUUUAAUUUUCGAAGAAAACAGAAGUUACUUAUUCUUUUAUCAACGUUCCGUCUUUGCGCCUAAUCUAUUUUCCUCAAUACACCGCUGUUUGUCGGGUUGCAAGUUUCAGGGGCAGCGCUAAGCUGCACAUGUUUAACCAUUUCACGCUCAAUAAAAUAUAUAUUUCGAUGUAAAAAAAUGUAUUUAAUAAAUAUUGAGUCAUGAGAUUAAUAAAAA